This 389-nucleotide ribosomal RNA is filed under the name uncultured bacterium. RNAcentral describes it as "bacterial SSU rRNA". It matches the Rfam family "Bacterial small subunit ribosomal RNA", at positions 28 to 419 of the family's 1533-position model. The record is from RNAcentral.
GACGAACGCUGGCGGCGUGCUUAACACAUGCAAGUCGAGCGGUAAGGCCCUUUCGGGGGUACACGAGCGGCGAAUGGGUGAGUAACACGUGGGUGACCUGCCCUCAGCUCUGGGAUAAGCCUGGGAAACCGGGUCUAAUACCGGAUAUGACUCCAUGACGCAUGUUGUGGGGUGGAAAGCCUUGUGCGGCUGAGGAUGGGCCCGCGGCCUAUCAGCUUGUUGGGGGGUGAUGGCCUACCAAGGCGACGACGGGUAGCCGGCCUGAGAGGGCGACCGGCCACACUGGGACUGAGACACGGCCCAGACUCCUACGGGAGGCAGCAGUGGGGAAUCUUGCGCAAUGGGCGAAAGCCUGACGCAGCGACGCCGCGUGAGGGAUGACGGCCUGG